This is a long non-coding RNA of Silurus meridionalis, 462 nucleotides long. RefSeq lists it as uncharacterized. The record is from RefSeq and is a predicted model, not a curated record. The transcript is spliced from 3 exons. NCBI's taxonomy places the organism in Eukaryota, Metazoa, Chordata, Actinopteri, Siluriformes, Siluridae.
AACCGACUCGCCAGUGUUUGGUGAUGUGUUCCAUAAGCCCGUGUUUUGUAUUUUUGUAGUAUUAAAACACCAUAAAAUACUUUGUAAGAAGUUCUACAUGAUGACAUCAUAAAAAUGCAGACUCUGGUUGGUUCCUACUCAGUAUUUUGCUCAGACUUGUUGAGAUCAGAACAAUAAAUUGAUCCAUAUGGAAGAAGGUGGUGAAGAUGAUCACAUGUUCUCCAAACACCAGGUCAGAAGCAGUGCUGUCUCCCGUUGUCGAGACAAUCCUGGCCGCUAGGGGGCGCUGAUGUUCAGGAGAAAUGUACGGGAGUUGAAGAGGGCGCCCCACACUGAGCACCAUCGCUUUGAGUGUCACUCCAAGAAUGAGUGUGGAAUCGUUUGUUCAAGUGAACCAAGAAAUUAUUUGUCAUAUGAAUUUACUGCAAUACAUUAAUAAACAUUUCUAAAAAACUUGUUAAA